RNAcentral lists this unclassified non-coding RNA (225 nucleotides) under Hevea brasiliensis (rubber tree). The record is from RNAcentral. Lineage: Eukaryota; Viridiplantae; Streptophyta; Magnoliopsida; Malpighiales; Euphorbiaceae.
CAAAGAUGAAGAUAUUGACGUGUGCCAAACGGUGAAGACUGAGCUUCGAGUAUCUCUUAGUGGUCUACUUGGGGAUUGUGGAAUACUUGCAAUCCCAACUGUUCCUGGACCUCCACCAAAACUAAAAACUGAGACGACUACGUUGGAAGGAUUUCGUGCAAAAGCUUUUAGUCUUUUGUCAAUUGCUGGAGUAUCUGGAUUUUGCCAGGUUAGUAUACCUCUAGG